Molecule: microRNA, 22 nt
Filed under: Rosa chinensis
Lineage: Eukaryota; Viridiplantae; Streptophyta; Magnoliopsida; Rosales; Rosaceae
Description: sRNA RchiOBHm_Chr6g0312275
Source: RNAcentral
CUUUUUAUCAGAGUUCCAAAAU